UAGGUGUACUGUUUUGAGGCUGAGUUUAGUCUGUAAGAUUCAGCUCGACAGUUUUUUUUUAAACCUUUAUUCGGUGAUUAGAGUGUGUUUCAAUGUUCGUUUUGGUUUCAUUUAUAUGAGUGUUUUUCUUUUUUUUUUCAUUUCCUACGCUGUCCGCCCAUUACAAAAGCAAGAUUAUCAGCGUAUUUUCUUGUGGCUCUCAGCAGCGGGAGGUUUUCAACGUGUGAUCUUCACAAAAGCGACGGUGUCGUACCGUUUACGUUGGGCCUUCAGCAUCUCAGAAGACGUUACCUCGCCGGGAGAAGGACAACAACCCGUGUGGGUUCCCUCCCAGCAACUGAGAUUGCAUUAUAACUCCAAGGAUGGUAGAACUCUCAGAAACAAAAGGCAAAGAACCGUCAGAAAGCAAAGAGCAAGGUUUGUCACCUGACACAUAAACUCCAUGACCUCGACAUUACAACAAAAUAUCGCCGUGUGACCUACAACACCAGUCAUUCUACUCUACCAACAUGGGGCCAGAUAAAAGUCUUAUCACAUCAAACAGAGAAAUUACUACAAGAAGAAGGAAUUCCAAAAAUGACGGGUAAUAUAAUUCUGGCUGCCUUUAUGGUGGUCAGUGCAGUGGUGAGUAUACCAGAGGUUGGGGCAACUCAAAAUUAUACCUACUGGGCAUAUGUUCCUUUUCCCUCUUUAAUUCAGUCUGUCUCCUGGAUAGACUCCUCAGUGGAAGUUUACACCAAUAAUAGUGCAUUCACACCGGUCCCCGAUGAUGACAGGUUUCCAGCCUAACCAGAAGAAGAAGUCUGCAGAUGUCUCCAAAGAGUCCGAGGACAAGUCCAAAAUCAACGACAAGCAAUGAUGGCAGUGACGAUCCUAGUCAAUAAAAAGGGGGAAGAUGUGGGUGGAAAAACCAGCCAUACAGAGACAGGAGCUGAAGGGACACGGUGAGAAGUGACCAGAAGUCAAGAGUGUGAGCCCUCUGUCAUGCAUGGACAGGGUUACUAGAUGGCUCCUUGGUCUAGCGGUAACGCCAGUGCCUGGGAAGGCACCCAUUACUUAGUGGACCGGGAAAGGGAAUCUCCCUUUCCCCUGGGGAGAGAAGACUCUGCUCCACUACCUCUUGUGCAAGGCCUGACAUGAAUCAGGCCCGCCCACAGCCAUCUGAAGGCCUAAACGUCUCCCUGUGAUGCUAUGCUUCAGCGGUCACACUCCUGGUGUACUUUCAUGUUCUGCUCUGCGCACCUGGCCCCGCAUUCUAGAUAGCAGUAGCAGAAUUAGUGAAAAUACUAAAGUCUUUGAUCUUUCCAAGAAAUACAUAGAAGAAAUAAUGAUGUAAGCUGUCCCCUCUCUCUCUCUCCACCUUGGUUACCAAAUAGGGAAGGGCCCCCUGUCCCGUGGACAUGUGACUCGCGUGACCUUACCUAUCAUUGGAGAUGACUCACACUACUUACCCUGCCACCUUGCCUUGUAUACAAUAAAUAACAGUGCAGCCAGGCAUUCGAGGCCACUACCAGUCUCCGCAUCUUGGUGGUAGUGGUUCCCCGGGCCCAGCUGUCUUUUCUUCUCUC
This is a non-coding RNA of Macaca mulatta (Rhesus monkey), 1568 nucleotides long. Lineage: Eukaryota; Metazoa; Chordata; Mammalia; Primates; Cercopithecidae. The record is from RefSeq and is a predicted model, not a curated record.